This 481-nucleotide ribosomal RNA is filed under the name Scutiger boulengeri (Xizang alpine toad). Its description in RNAcentral is "partial 12S ribosomal RNA". It matches the Rfam family "Bacterial small subunit ribosomal RNA", at positions 848 to 1524 of the family's 1533-position model. Lineage: Eukaryota; Metazoa; Chordata; Amphibia; Anura; Megophryidae. The record is from RNAcentral.
UUAACUAAUUACUUCUAUAUUCGCCAGGGAACUACAAGCCAUAGCUUAAAACCCAAAGGACUUGGCGGUGCUCUACACCACCUAGAGGAGCCUGUUCUAUAAUCGAUAUUCCACGAUUUACCCCACCACUUCUUGCCAAACCGCCUAUAUACCGCCGUCGCCAACUCACCCUUUGAAGGAAACACAGUGGGUUUAAGGAUUGAACACCAAAACGUCAGGUCAAGGUGUAGCUUAUGAAGUGGAAAGAAAUUGGCUACAUUUUCUAUAUUAGACCACACGAAUUAUCAGUAUGAAACCUGAUAUGAAGGAGGAUUUAGCAGUAAAAAGAAAUCAGCAAGUUCUUUUUAAGAUGGCCCUAGAGCGCGCACACACCGCCCGUCACCCUCUUCCACUCAUUUUAUUAACAUACAUAAUAAAUUAACCAAAGAUCAGAAGAGGAAAGUCGUAACAUGGUAAGUAUACCGGAAGGUGUACUUGGAAC